Molecule: long non-coding RNA, 852 nt
Organism: Erigeron canadensis
Lineage: Eukaryota; Viridiplantae; Streptophyta; Magnoliopsida; Asterales; Asteraceae
Exons: 5
Source: RefSeq, a predicted model, not a curated record
GGAGGGAAGAAGAAGCAAAGGAACAAAGAACGUGAUGUUGUAAACAAGGUUUCAUAAGUGAAAGAAAAACCUACAGGUAGCAAAAUGGGAAAAGGUUACAUCACUGAUUUGGCCUGAAGCUUGGCUCGAUAAUGUUAUGGCAAGUGUACCCGAAUUAGCCAUUUGUCACUAUAAAAAUGUCUCACAUGUUAGGAAUUUAUCUUCUAUGCUAACAAAAGCAGUCGAGUACUCGACUGCUGCAAGUGGGAUUAUCUUCAAUUGUGUAAGUGAUCAAGCAGUAACUUUAGACGGAAUGGCUAAACUAUGUGCCAAAGCAGCAGGUGUCAUUGAAGUUGCAAAGUAGGCCAGACAUCAAAUCAGUAAAAGUCAAAGGAUACUACAAAAUCCAGGCCAUGCGUUGCUGGUAGCACUUCAAAUCAUGGUGUCAGAAGGGGUACAGAUCGCUAUGCUUGACAUGGUGAAGACGGGGAUGAGGGAAGCAAUGUUUUGUCCAAAGAUCACGAAGAGAAGCAUGUCAUGAGGGAAUCAACACAUAUGUGAUGGCAAGUUUUCCCGAAUUAGCCAUUUGUGAUGGCAGGUUACACCACUGAUUUGGCUUGAAGCUUGGCUCGAUAAUGUGAUUGCAAGUUUACCUGAAUUAGCUAUUUGUUACCAUAAAAAUGUCUCUCAUGUUAGAGAUUUAUCUUAUAUGCUAACAAAAGUAGUCAAGUAUCCGACUGCUGCAAGUGGGAUUAUCUUUAGUAGUGUAAGUGAUCGAGGAGUAACUUUAGAUGGAAUGGCUUAACUAUGUACAACUUGAUAUUCGUUUGAAUAUGAGAAUAUUUAUGUUCUUCCUAUGCAAACUGUGUGUAA